Oncorhynchus keta (chum salmon) is the source of this 561-nucleotide long non-coding RNA. RefSeq lists it as uncharacterized. The transcript has 6 exons. Lineage: Eukaryota; Metazoa; Chordata; Actinopteri; Salmoniformes; Salmonidae. The record is from RefSeq and is a predicted model, not a curated record.
AGACGGUACUAGAAGGUAACACCCCGUACUGAGACGGUACUAGAAGGUAACACCCCGUACUGAGACGGUAACACCCCGUACUGAGACGGUACUAGAAGGUAACACCCCGUACUGAGACGGUACUAGAAGGUAACACCCCGUACUGAGAAGGUAACACCCCGUACUGAGACGGUACUAGAAGGUAACACCCCGUACUGAGACGGUACUAGAAGGUAACACCCCGUACUGAGACGGUACUAGAAGGUAACACCCCGUACUGAGACGGUACUAGAAGGUAACACCCCGUACUGAGACGGUACUAGAAGGUAACACCCCGUACUGAGACGGUACUAGAAGGUAACACCCCGUACUGAGACGGUACUAGAAGGUAACACCCCGUACUGAGACGGUACUAGAAGGUAACACCCCGUACUGAGACGGUACUAGAAGGUAACACCCCGUACUGAGACGGUACUAGAAGGUAACACCCCGUACUGAGACGGUAACACCCCGUACUGAGACGGUACUAGAAGGUAACACCCCGUACUGAGACGGUACUAGAAGGUAACACCCCGUACUGAG